UCGAGCGAGAACCAGUCCUUCGGGACUGGGGACAGCGGCGAACGGGUGAGUAACACGUGGGUAAUCUGCCCUCGAUUCUGGGAUAGCCCGGGGAAACCCGGGUUAAUACCGGAUAGCCUCUCGAGCUUUCGAGCUCGUGAGAAAAGGUAGCUUCGGCCUCCGAUCGAGGAUGAGCCCGCGGCGGAUUAGCUUGUUGGUGGGGUAAUGGCCCACCAAGGCGACGAUCCGUAGCUGGUCUGAGAGGACGAUCAGCCACACUGGGACUGAGACACGGCCCAGACUCCUACGGGAGGCAGCAGUGGGGAAUCUUGCGCAAUGGGCGAAAGCCUGACGCAGCGACGCCGCGUGGGGGAAGAAGGCCUUCGGGUUGUAAACCUCUUUCAGCAGGGACGAAGCCACUCGGGUGAAUAGCCCAGAGGGUGACGGUACCUGCAGAAGAAGCCCCGGCUAACUACGUGCCAGCAGCCGCGGUAAUACGUAGGGGGCAAGCGUUGUCCGGAUUUAUUGGGCGUAAAGAGCGUGUAGGCGGCCAGACAGGUCCGUUGUGAAAACUAGAGGCUUAACCUCUAGACGUCGAUGGAAACCGUCUGGCUAGAGUCCGGAAGAGGAGAAUGGAAUUCCUGGUGUAGCGGUGAAAUGCGCAGAUAUCAGGAAGAACACCCGUGGCUAAGGCGGUUCUCUAGUACGGUACUGACGCUGAGACGCGAAAGCGUGGGGAGCGAACAGGAUUAGAUACCCUGGUAGUCCACGCCGUAAACGAUGGGUGCUAGGUGUGGGGGGUGUCGA
RNAcentral lists this ribosomal RNA (786 nucleotides) under uncultured Actinomycetes bacterium. Its description in RNAcentral is "bacterial SSU rRNA". It matches the Rfam family "Bacterial small subunit ribosomal RNA", at positions 62 to 835 of the family's 1533-position model. Lineage: Bacteria; Bacillati; Actinomycetota; Actinomycetes. The record is from RNAcentral.